This 253-nucleotide ribosomal RNA is filed under the name uncultured bacterium. Its description in RNAcentral is "partial 16S ribosomal RNA". It matches the Rfam family "Bacterial small subunit ribosomal RNA", at positions 524 to 776 of the family's 1533-position model. The record is from RNAcentral.
UACGAAGGGGGCUAGCGUUGCUCGGAAUUACUGGGCGUAAAGGGCGCGUAGGCGGAUGUCUUAGUCAGAUGUGAAAGCCCAGGGCUCAACCUUGGAACUGCCUUUGAUACUGGACAUCUUGAGUACGGGAGAGGUGAGUGGAACUCCGAGUGUAGAGGUGAAAUUCGUAGAUAUUCGGAAGAACACCAGUGGCGAAGGCGACUCACUGGCCCGUUACUGACGCUGAGGCGCGAAAGCGUGGGGAGCAAACAGG